UGGGGAAUAUUGGGCAAUGGGCGAAAGCCUGACCCAGCAACGCCGCGUGAAGGAAGAAGGCUUUCGGGUUGUAAACUUCUUUUAAGAGGGACGAAACAAAUGACGGUACCUCUUGAAUAAGCCACGGCUAACUACGUGCCAGCAGCCGCGGUAAUACGUAGGUGGCGAGCGUUAUCCGGAUUUACUGGGUGUAAAGGGCGUGUAGGCGGGAAUGCAAGUCAGAUGUGAAAACUAUGGGCUUAACCCAUAGCGUGCAUUUGAAACUGUGUUUCUUGAGUGAUGGAGAGGCAGGCGGAAUUCCGUGUGUAGCGGUGAAAUGCGUAGAUAUACGGAGGAACACCAGUGGCGAAGGCGGCCUGCUGGACAUUAACUGACGCUGAGGCGCGAAAGCGUGGGGAGCAAACAGGAUUAGAUACCCCCGUAGUCC
This 427-nucleotide ribosomal RNA is filed under the name uncultured bacterium. RNAcentral's name for it is "bacterial SSU rRNA". It matches the Rfam family "Bacterial small subunit ribosomal RNA", at positions 355 to 796 of the family's 1533-position model. The record is from RNAcentral.